GCCCUGCCCCUGCCGGCCCUGUCGCAGAAGCGCCUCGGCGUUGGCCGUCGGGUGGUGGCUUAGUGUAAUGAUAAAGCGGCCAACACUGUGCUUCAGCUGAGAACCUCCCUUGUAAUCUGAAUUUCAGGAAGAACCUUCAAUCCCUCAAGAUUAAAAGCCAAGAGAGAGGGAGAGAUGAGGAGAGCCCUGCCAGGAAAAAGAAUUAAGAGACAGCAAGAUAGACUGACUGAUCCUACCUGGACAGAGUUAAUUGACAGCUCUCCUGGACAGAUUCGAAGUUUCGCACACAGACCUUGAAAAGGAUGACAGCCUACUUAGUUGAGUGUUUUGCUAAGGUGGAACUAGUGAAUGAAUGAGAAAGACUGGACUAGCAUGGUUGAGAAGGUGGUACUAUCAAAUAAAGA
Molecule: long non-coding RNA, 404 nt
Filed under: Apteryx rowi (Okarito brown kiwi)
Lineage: Eukaryota; Metazoa; Chordata; Aves; Apterygiformes; Apterygidae
Description: lncRNA (ENSARWG00000009258.1)
Source: RNAcentral